RNAcentral lists this ribosomal RNA (1600 nucleotides) under metagenome. RNAcentral's name for it is "SSU rRNA". It matches the Rfam family "Eukaryotic small subunit ribosomal RNA", at positions 192 to 1801 of the family's 1831-position model. The record is from RNAcentral.
ACGAAUUUGGUGGCCUUAUUAGGAUAAAAGCCAACCUAGUCUUCGGAUUAGCGUUUUGGUGAUUCAUAAUAAUGAAGCCCAAUCACACGACUCGUUCGGUGAUACGCCAUUACAAUUUCUGCCCUAUCAGCUUUGGAUGGUAGUGUAGUGGACUACCAUGGCUUUUACGGGUGACGGGGAAUUAGGGUUCGAUUCCGGAGAGGGAGCCUGAGAAACGGCUACCACUUCUAUGGAAGGCAGCAGGCGUGCAAAUUACCCAAUCCCAAUACGGGGAGGUAGUGACAAGAAAUAACAAUACUGGGUUCUUACGAAUUCGGUAAUUGGAAUGAGUGUAAUCUAAAGGUCUUAACCAGGACCAACUGGAGGGCAAGUCUGGUGCCAGCAGCCGCGGUAAUACCAGCUCCAAUAGUGUAUAUUAAUGUUGCUGCAGUUAAAAAGCUCGUAGUCGAAUUUCUGAUCUGUCAAACUCAAACUGCUUUCUUUGAAAGUAUGUCUUGAAAUGUUUGUGGAUCUUAUUUCUGGAAAGUGUUUCUAGCCUUAAUUGGUUGGUUAUACGAUCCAGAUCAUUUACUGUGAGCAAAUGGGAGUGUUUAAAGCGAGUUAUUACAAGCUUGAACCGUUUAGCAUGGAAUAAUAAAAUAUAACUUGGUUUUAUUUUGUUGGCUUCUAAAACCCAGUAAUGAUCAAAAGGGAUAGUUGGGGGUGCUCAUAUUCAGGGGGUAGCGGUGAAAUGCGAUGAUCCUCUGAAGAUGAACUACUGCGAAAGCAUUCACCAAGGAUAUCUUCUUUGAUCAAGAACGAAAGUUGGGGGAUCGAAGACGAUCAGAUACCGUCGUAGUCUCAACCAUAAACUAUGCCAACUAGAGAUUGGCGAUCGUCGAAUACUUGACCCCGUCAGCAUCUUCAGAGAAAUCAAAGUCUUUGGGUUCUGGGGGGAGUAUGGUCACAAGGCUGAAACUUAAAGGAAUUGACGGAAGGGCACCACCAGGAGUGGAGCCUGCGGCUUAAUUUGACUCAACACGGGAAAACUUACCAGGUCCGGACAUAGUAAGGAUUGACAGAUUGAAGCUCUUUCUUGAUUCUAUGGAUAGUGGUGCAUGGCCGUUCUUAGUUGGUGGAGUGAUUUGUCCGGUUAAUUCCGAUAACGAGCGAGACCUCGACCUAUUAAUUAGAUGUGUAAAUCUUCGGAUUUAUAAUAUACAGCUUCUUAGAGGUACUUUUGGUGAGUAGCCAAAGGAAGUUCGAGGCAAUAACAGGUCUGUGAUGCCCUUAGAUGUUCUGGGCUGCACGCGUGCUACAAUGAUGCAUUCAACAAGUUGUAACUCCUUGGUCGAAAGGCCUGGGUAAACUUUUGAAAUUGCAUCAUGCUGGGGCUUGAUCAUUGUAAUUAUUGAUCACCAACGAGGAAUUCCUUGUAAAUGCAAGUCAUCAGCUUGCAUUGAAUACGUCCCUGCCCUUUGUACACACCGCCCGUCGCUUCUACCGAUGAAUGAUCCGGUGAACUCUUAGGACUUGUUGUUUUGAAGACUUCGGUUUAGAAACUAUCAGGGAAUUUGCGUAAACCUUAUCAUUUAGAGGAAGAAGAAGUCGUAACAAGGUU